This 72-nucleotide transfer RNA is filed under the name Thraustochytrium aureum. RNAcentral's name for it is "tRNA-Met". It matches the Rfam family "tRNA". Rfam says of the family: Transfer RNA (tRNA) molecules are approximately 80 nucleotides in length. Their secondary structure includes four short double-helical elements and three loops (D, anti-codon, and T loops). Lineage: Eukaryota; Bigyra; Thraustochytrida; Thraustochytriidae. The record is from RNAcentral.
CGCGGGGUAGAGAAAUGGUAUCUCAUUAGGCUCAUGAUCUAAAGGAAAUGGGUUCGAUUCCCAUCCCCGCUU